This 507-nucleotide ribosomal RNA is filed under the name uncultured bacterium. Its description in RNAcentral is "bacterial SSU rRNA". It matches the Rfam family "Bacterial small subunit ribosomal RNA", at positions 501 to 1006 of the family's 1533-position model. The record is from RNAcentral.
CUACGUGCCAGCAGCCGCGGUAAUACGUAGGUGGCAAGCGUUGUCCGGAAUUAUUGGGCGUAAAGCGCGCGCAGGCGGAUUGGUCAGUCUGUCUUAAAAGUUCGGGGCUUAACCCCGUGAUGGGAUGGAAACUGCCAAUCUAGAGUAUCGGAGAGGAAAGUGGAAUUCCUAGUGUAGCGGUGAAAUGCGUAGAUAUUAGGAAGAACACCAGUGGCGAAGGCGACUUUCUGGACGAAAACUGACGCUGAGGCGCGAAAGCCAGGGGAGCGAACGGGAUUAGAUACCCCGGUAGUCCUGGCCGUAAACGAUGGGUACUAGGUGUAGGAGGUAUCGACCCCUUCUGUGCCGGAGUUAACGCAAUAAGUACCCCGCCUGGGGAGUACGACCGCAAGGUUGAAACUCAAAGGAAUUGACGGGGGCCCGCACAAGCGGUGGAGUAUGUGGUUUAAUUCGAUGAUACGCGAGGAACCUUACCCGGGCUUGAAUUGCAGUCGCUGCCCACAGAGA